GACAGAUGGUUCGGUAAGCAAAAUCAAAACUGACAAUGGCAAAGAAGUCCAGGUUGCCGGCGCCUGCGCCUGGUUCAGCGAUUCUCGCGUUGUCUACGUGAAUCCAAAUGGCGCCGGGUGCACAAACACUAUUACGAGAGCUGAACUGGCAGCAAUUCGUGCUGCCCUCGCAGAAUUUGGUGGCGAAGGUAAAGAAUUUGCAACUAAGAAGCUCACUAUUGCAUCAGAUUCUGUUGCAAGCUUGUACCUAAUCAAACGAGCAAUUAACGAGCCUCGGCGACUGCAUCUGAGUAAACAUCGGGACCUCCUGGAUUCAGUCGUGGCAUUGCUCCAUGCACGCCACGCCCGGGGCGCACCCACCGCCCUGAUUAAAGUGAUCUCGCACACCGGGCUACACGGCAACGAGGAAGCCGAUAAAGGGGCGGCUGCCGUCGCCACCCAGGAAAAACCCGCCGAUGUAUCCGAACCGGCCGACAACGACCCGCACGCCCGGCACUNNNNNNNNNNNNNNNNNNNNNNNNNNNNNNNNNNNNNNNNNNNNNNNNNNNNNNNNNNNNNNNNNNNNNNNNNNNNNNNNNNNNNNNNNNNNNNNNNNNNCCCAUGGACGCCGAUAGCCCGACGCUGCCCCUGACCGCCCCGGCAGCGCAAGCUGCGGGAGGCCAUGGGGCCCGUCCCAGCUGGCGACUGGCCCGCGCAAGGAUCACACACGAUCUAGUCCCACGGCCCGCCGACAACCGCACUAACGGUGACACUCAACUCACCUACGCCCUGGACAAUGACGGUCCUGCACAGCGAAAACAAACAAACUGUCACGGACAAAGACCUGACACGGAAGCGCAAAGCCAGAGAGGACACCUCUGGGACACGUGAAAAUACUGGAAGGUGCAGUGGAAGCCGUCCAUUUGCCCGGCCGGCAUUGUCUCUGCUUUUGUUCGCAUGGGCUACGCAACUAUCCAGAAUGCCAGGUGUUAUAAGCACCCUCUUGCGACGCGCCCAUGCCCACAACCUGCGCAGACCGAGGCUGAGCCUCCGGCUGAAACCCAAGCCCACGCAAUCUCACCUGAAGAGCCUGCCCAAGCUGCAGAGCCGGCAGCACCGCAGCCCACUGGGGCCCCCCUAUUCUCGUCCUGGACGACCAAACUCCUACGACAUGUCACGUGGGCGCCAAGCACGGACCGUGAACGGGACCUAAAACACAGUCCACAAUGGGAGGAGUUACUGGAGGAGUGCAAAACCCGGCUAGCAAACGGUACCAACCAAGGCCCGCGGCCCCGAACAGUGCGCCCCGCACCUGAUCGGAACCUUACCGCCAGACAGCGCCAAGGCCGCCACGACGCCGAGCACCUGGAUACCGCAUCCCGCGCGCGUGACAUCCGCACGACCACCACCAUCACCACAAGCCCGUGCAACCCCUACAAGGACAUCGUGGCCCCCGGAGCAUACACAAUUACCACCACUGGUGGCACCCGCCGUGGCCCAGCUGAGGCGCACGUCCAUGAACCCAGUGGCCGCUGGCUGGGCACCAUCACCUACCCCCGCCUCCUUACCCUGUGGGAGCACUUCAGGCACACCGGCAACCAGCGGCCCAACGCCUUUGAGGAAGCGGUCGCUGCCCUCAUCAUGCGCUACCGCUAUGACCCGGCGCAGCAGGACCGCAAGGCCAUGCCAAUGCACCAGGUGUCGCUGCCGGCAGGCACAGUAGCAGCCAUCGUCCAAUGCCUGCGGGUCACACAAGCAGUACACAUUCGGGAAAUGUUUGCGUCCCCACUAAACUCCUCCACUGCAGCCCACGAAUACUGGACACGAGACCCUGCUGAUGGGGCCUUUGGCGCACUGCACGAUGCCUACCAGACCGCAUGGACCGGCUUGCAAUAUGCCCACCCCCCCUCUACCCCCCACGAUGCACGGAAGGCGCUCAUGUGGGCCCUCGCAUGCGCCGAGGCUAUGCGUGACUCACAGGAACCAACCCUUACUGUAUUGGCGCUUCCCAAAGCGGCCACUUUCCCCCACACGCAGUGGCUUCAACACCCACUUUGCCACGAGCUGGCCAACUGGUCCGCGGGCACCGCGGGCCUUGACACAGGACUUGGCACCAACACCCAGGCUGAACGCCAGAAGGGGCUCCGACUGGUCAUUGUUGGGAACCCCGCCGGACUCCAGUGCUUUGCCCCCCGCCUGAAACGGCUCGUGGACACACUGAAACGGGGGGCGAACGCACCCACGCACAUCAGCGACCCGCGCACGUGGACACACACGGCCACGGCCCCAACCUGCCCGGCCCUCCCAAACUCACUUCUAAAGCAAGCCAAAUACCAGCACGCUAACCCAAAGACGAUACACGCCAUGGCUGACGAAGCACGACGCUUUCCUAACGCGCGAUUCCAGACCCACCAUGCUCUGGCCCACGACGUGAAUGGCACUGUCUGGACAGAUGGUUCGGUAAGCAAAAUCAAAACUGACAAUGGCAAAGAAGUCCAGGUUGCCGGCGCCUGCGCCUGGUUCAGCGAUUCUCGCGUUGUCUACGUGAAUCCAAAUGGCGCCGGGUGCACAAACACUAUUACGAGAGCUGAACUGGCAGCAAUUCGUGCUGCCCUCGCAGAAUUUGGUGGCGAAGGUAAAGAAUUUGCAACUAAGAAGCUCACUAUUGCAUCAGAUUCUGUUGCAAGCUUGUACCUAAU
Molecule: long non-coding RNA, 2678 nt
Filed under: Chlamydomonas reinhardtii
Lineage: Eukaryota; Viridiplantae; Chlorophyta; Chlorophyceae; Chlamydomonadales; Chlamydomonadaceae
Description: long non-coding RNA (CREI_LNC001032)
Source: RNAcentral